GGAGCCGACUGGAUGACCGCGGUCCUUCGGGGCUGAGGAAAGUCGGGGCUCCGCAGGACAGGGUGCUGGCUCACGCCAGUCGAGGUGACUCGCAGGAAAGUGCCACAGAGAACAGACCGCCGGUGGGCUCGCCUCGCCGGUAAGGGUGAAACGGUGCGGUAAGAGCGCACCAGC
RNAcentral lists this RNase P RNA (174 nucleotides) under Acidimicrobiaceae bacterium. RNAcentral's name for it is "partial RNase P RNA component class A". It matches the Rfam family "Bacterial RNase P class A", at positions 1 to 181 of the family's 367-position model. Rfam says of the family: Ribonuclease P (RNase P) is a ubiquitous endoribonuclease, found in archaea, bacteria and eukarya as well as chloroplasts and mitochondria. Its best characterised activity is the generation of mature 5'-ends of tRNAs by cleaving the 5'-leader elements of precursor-tRNAs. Cellular RNase Ps are ribonucleoproteins. Lineage: Bacteria; Bacillati; Actinomycetota; Acidimicrobiia; Acidimicrobiales; Acidimicrobiaceae. The record is from RNAcentral.